This 476-nucleotide ribosomal RNA is filed under the name uncultured bacterium. RNAcentral describes it as "partial 16S ribosomal RNA". It matches the Rfam family "Bacterial small subunit ribosomal RNA", at positions 28 to 523 of the family's 1533-position model. The record is from RNAcentral.
GAUGAACGCUGGCGGCGUGCUUAACACAUGCAAGUCGAGCGAGUGAGUUCUUCGGAGCGAUCUAGCGGCGGACGGGUGAGUAACACGUGGGCAACCUGCCUCAUAGAGGGGAAUAGCCUCACGAAAGGGAGAUUAAUACCGCAUAAAAUUAUCGAGUGGCAUCACAUGAUAAUCAAAGGAGUAAUCCGCUAUGAGAUGGGCCCGCGGCGCAUUAGCUAGUUGGUGAGGUAACGGCUCACCAAGGCGACGAUGCGUAGCCGACCUGAGAGGGUGAUCGGCCACAUUGGGACUGAGACACGGCCCAGACUCCUACGGGAGGCAGCAGUGGGGAAUAUUGCACAAUGGGGGAAACCCUGAUGCAGCAACGCCGCGUGAGUGAUGAAGGUCUUCGGAUUGUAAAGCUCUGUCUUUGGGGACGAUAAUGACGGUACCCAAGGAGGAAGCCACGGCUAACUACGUGCCAGCCGCCGCCGUAA